CAGCAGCCGCGGUAAUACGGAGGGGGCUAGCGUUGUUCGGAAUUACUGGGCGUAAAGCGCACGUAGGCGGCUUUGUAAGUUAGUGGUGAAAGCCUGGGGCUCAACUCCAGAAUUGCCUUUAAGACUGCAUCGCUUGAACGUCGGAGAGGUGAGUGGAAUUCCGAGUGUAGAGGUGAAAUUCGUAGAUAUUCGGAAGAACACCGGAGGCGAAAGCGGCUCUCUGGCUUGUAACUGACGCUGAGGCUCGAAAGCGUGGGGAGCAAACAGGAUUAGAUACCCCGGUAGUCCCUGUCUCUUAUAC
RNAcentral lists this ribosomal RNA (301 nucleotides) under uncultured bacterium. RNAcentral's name for it is "partial 16S ribosomal RNA". It matches the Rfam family "Bacterial small subunit ribosomal RNA", at positions 509 to 807 of the family's 1533-position model. The record is from RNAcentral.